RNAcentral lists this signal recognition particle RNA (96 nucleotides) under Acidiferrobacteraceae bacterium. RNAcentral's name for it is "signal recognition particle sRNA small type". It matches the Rfam family "Bacterial small signal recognition particle RNA". From Rfam's summary of the family: The signal recognition particle (SRP) is a universally conserved ribonucleoprotein involved in the co-translational targeting of proteins to membranes. Archaeal SRP consists of a 7S RNA and homologues of the eukaryotic SRP19 and SRP54 proteins. Lineage: Bacteria; Pseudomonadati; Pseudomonadota; Gammaproteobacteria; Acidiferrobacterales; Acidiferrobacteraceae. The record is from RNAcentral.
AUUGGUCUCUCCAGUGGCGACAGGUUGUGAACCCGGUCAGGUCCGGAAGGAAGCAGCCGCAGCAGCCGUGUUGGGUGCUGGAACUGGGCUGGUCGG